RNAcentral lists this ribosomal RNA (376 nucleotides) under uncultured bacterium. RNAcentral's name for it is "bacterial SSU rRNA". It matches the Rfam family "Bacterial small subunit ribosomal RNA", at positions 524 to 898 of the family's 1533-position model. The record is from RNAcentral.
CACGUAGGGGCCAAGCGUUGUCCGGAGUUACUGGGCGUAAAGCGCGCGCAGGCGGCCCAGUGGGCCUGGCGUGAAAGGGUGCCGCUCAACGGUGCCAGGGCGUCGGGGACCGCUGGGCUUGAGGGCGGGAGGGGCUGGUGGAAUCCCUGGUGUAGUGGUGAAAUGCGUAGAGAUCAGGGGGAACACCCGUGGCGAAGGCGGCCAGCUGGGCCGACCCUGACGCUGAGACGCGAAAGCGUGGGGAGCGAACAGGAUUAGAUACCCUGGUAGUCCACGCCGUAAACGAUGGGUGCUAGGUGUGGGAGGUGUCGACUCCUUCCGUGCCGUAGCUAACGCAUUAAGCACCCCGCCUGGGGAGUACGGCCGCAAGGCUAAA